Molecule: ribosomal RNA, 497 nt
Filed under: uncultured bacterium
Lineage: Bacteria
Description: partial 16S ribosomal RNA
Rfam family: Bacterial small subunit ribosomal RNA
Source: RNAcentral
GAUGAACGCUGGCGGCGUGCCUAAUACAUGCAAGUCGAGCGAACAGAUGAGGAGCUUGCUCCUCUGACGUUAGCGGCGGACGGGUGAGUAACACGUGGAUAACCUACCUAUAAGACUGGGAUAACUUCGGGAAACCGGAGCUAAUACCGGAUAAUAUAUUGAACCGCAUGGUUCAAUAGUGAAAGACGGUUUUGCUGUCACUUAUAGAUGGAUCCGCGCCGCAUUAGCUAGUUGGUAAGGUAACGGCUUACCAAGGCAACGAUGCGUAGCCGACCUGAGAGGGUGAACGGCCCCACUGGGACUGAGACACGGCCCAGACUCCUACGGGAGGCAGCAGUAGGGAAGCUUCCGAAAUGGGCGAAAGCCUGACGGAGCAACGCCGCGUGAGUGAUGAAGGUCUGCGGAUCGUAAGACUCUGUUAUGAGGGAAGAACAAAUGUGUAAGUAACUAUGCACGUCUUGACGGUACCUAAUCAGAAAGCCACGGCUAACUACGUG